Molecule: ribosomal RNA, 683 nt
Filed under: Stenotrophomonas maltophilia
Lineage: Bacteria; Pseudomonadati; Pseudomonadota; Gammaproteobacteria; Lysobacterales; Lysobacteraceae
Description: partial 23S ribosomal RNA
Rfam family: Bacterial large subunit ribosomal RNA
Source: RNAcentral
CUCUGGAAAGAGUGGCCAUAGAAGGUGAUAGCCCUGUAUCUGAAAGGGCCAUUCCAGUGAAGACGAGUAGGGCGGGGCACGUGAAACCCUGUCUGAACAUGGGGGGACCAUCCUCCAAGGCUAAAUACUACUGACCGACCGAUAGUGAACCAGUACCGUGAGGGAAAGGCGAAAAGAACCCCGGAGAGGGGAGUGAAAUAGAACCUGAAACCGUGUGCGUACAAGCAGUAGGAGCUCCGCAAGGAGUGACUGCGUACCUUUUGUAUAAUGGGUCAGCGACUUACUGUUCGUGGCAAGCUUAACCGUAUAGGGGAGGCGAAGGGAAACCGAGUCUGAUAAGGGCGCAUAGUCGCGGGCAGUAGACCCGAAACCGGGUGAUCUAGUCAUGCCCAGGGUGAAGGUGCGGUAACACGCACUGGAGGCCCGAACCCACUCCCGUUGCAAAGGUAGGGGAUGAGGUGUGAUUAGGAGUGAAAAGCUAAUCGAACCCGGAGAUAGCUGGUUCUCCUCGAAAGCUAUUUAGGUAGCGCCUCAUAUGUAUCCUCUCGGGGGUAGAGCACUGUUAUGGCUAGGGGGUCAUCGCGACUUACCAAACCAUUGCAAACUCCGAAUACCGAGACGGACUGUAUGGGAGACACACGGCGGGUGCUAACGUCCGUCGUGAAAAGGGAAACAACCCAGAC